GGAAGAAUGGCUGAGCGGUCUAUAGCGGCGGUUUGCUAAAUCGUAAAAGGGUAUGCCCCUUUCAGGAGUUCGAAUCUCCUUUCUUCCA
This 88-nucleotide transfer RNA is filed under the name Diphylleia rotans. RNAcentral describes it as "tRNA-Ser". It matches the Rfam family "tRNA". From Rfam's summary of the family: Transfer RNA (tRNA) molecules are approximately 80 nucleotides in length. Lineage: Eukaryota; Collodictyonidae. The record is from RNAcentral.